RNAcentral lists this ribosomal RNA (474 nucleotides) under uncultured bacterium. Its description in RNAcentral is "bacterial SSU rRNA". It matches the Rfam family "Bacterial small subunit ribosomal RNA", at positions 33 to 507 of the family's 1533-position model. The record is from RNAcentral.
GACGACGCUGGCGGCGUGCUUAACACAUGCAAGUCGAACGGAGUUUAAAUCAGUAGUUUACUACAGAUUUAAACUUAGUGGCGGACGGGUGAGUAACACGUGGGCAACCUGCCCUAAAGAGGGGGAUAACACCGAGAAAUCGGUGCUAAUACCGCAUGACAUUAGAGCUUCGCAUGGAGCUUUAAUCAAAGGAGCAAUCCGCUUUAGGAUGGGCCCGCGUCUGAUUAGCUAGUUGGUGAGGUAGAGGCUCACCAAGGCGACGAUCAGUAGCCGAUCUGAGAGGAUGACCGGCCACACUGGAACUGAGACACGGUCCAGACUCCUACGGGAGGCAGCAGUGGGGAAUAUUGCACAAUGGGGGAAACCCUGAUGCAGCAACGCCGCGUGGGAGGAAGAAGGUUUUCGGAUUGUAAACUCCUGUCUUUUGGGACGAUAAUGACGGUACCAAAAGAGGAAGCCACGGCUAACUACGUG